AGAGUUUGAUCAUGGCUCAGAGCGAACGCUGGCGGCAGGCCUAACACAUGCAAGUCGAGCGCCGUAGCAAUACGGAGCGGCAGACGGGUGAGUAACGCGUGGGAACGUGCCCUUCGGUUCGGAAUAACUCAGGGAAACUUGAGCUAAUACCGGAUACGUCCGAAAGGAGAAAGAUUUAUCGCCGAAGGAUCGGCCCGCGUAAGAUUAGCUAGUUGGUGAGGUAACGGCUCACCAAGGCUCUGAUCUUUAGCUGGUCUGAGAGGACGAUCAGCCACACUGGGACUGAGACACGGCCCAGACUCCUACGGGAGGCAGCAGUGGGGAAUAUUGGACAAUGGGCGCAAGCCUGAUCCAGCCAUGCCGCGUGAGUGAUGAAGGCCUUAGGGUUGUAAAGCUCUUUUGGCAGGGACGAUAAUGACUGUACCUGCAGAAUAAGCCCCGGCCAACUUCGUGCCAGCAGCCGCGGUAAUACGAAGGGGGCUAGCGUUGCUCGGAAUCACUGGGCGUAAAGCGCACGUAGGCGGGUUGUUAAGUCAGGGGUGAAAUCCUGGAGCUCAACUCCAGAACUGCCUUUGAUACUGGCAAUCUUUGAGUCCGGGAGAGGUGGGUGGAACUGCGAGUGUAGAGGUGAAAUUCGUAGAUAUUCGCAAGAACACCAGUGGCGAAGGCGGCUCACUGGCCCGGUACUGACGCUGAGGUGCGAAAGCGUGGGGAGCAAACAGGAUUAGAUACCCCGGUAGUCC
RNAcentral lists this ribosomal RNA (743 nucleotides) under uncultured bacterium. Its description in RNAcentral is "bacterial SSU rRNA". It matches the Rfam family "Bacterial small subunit ribosomal RNA", at positions 8 to 796 of the family's 1533-position model. The record is from RNAcentral.